GAUGAACGCUGGCGGCGUGCCUAAUACAUGCAAGUCGAGCGAAUGGAUUAAGAGCUUGCUCUUAUGAAGUUAGCGGCGGACGGGUGAGUAACACGUGGGUAACCUGCCCAUAAGACUGGGAUAACUCCGGGAAACCGGGGCUAAUACCGGAUAACAUUUUGAACCGCAUGGUUCGAAAUUGAAAGGCGGCUUCGGCUGUCACUUAUGGAUGGACCCGCGUCGCAUUAGCUAGUCGGUGAGGUAACGGCUCACCAAGGCAACGAUGCGUAGCCGACCUGAGAGGGUGAUCGGCCACACUGGGACUGAGACAGGGCCCAGACUCCUACGGGAGGCAGCAGUAGGGAAUCUUCCGCAAUGGACGAAAGUCUGACGGAGCAACGCCGCGUGAGUGAUGAAGGCUUUCGGGUCGUAAAACUCUGUUGUUAGGGAAGAACAAGUGCUAGUUGAAUAAGCUGGCACCUUGACGGUACCUAACCAGAAAGCCACGGCUAACUACGUGCCAGCCGCCGCGGUAA
RNAcentral lists this ribosomal RNA (515 nucleotides) under uncultured bacterium. RNAcentral describes it as "partial 16S ribosomal RNA". It matches the Rfam family "Bacterial small subunit ribosomal RNA", at positions 28 to 523 of the family's 1533-position model. The record is from RNAcentral.